Molecule: long non-coding RNA, 1053 nt
Filed under: Calidris pugnax (ruff)
Lineage: Eukaryota; Metazoa; Chordata; Aves; Charadriiformes; Scolopacidae
Description: lncRNA (ENSCPUG00000009407.1)
Source: RNAcentral
UUGCUGUUUGAAACAGCAGGCUAAGGACCAUACCUGUUUUGUUGUUUUUUUUUCCAUUUGGGAGUUCUGUCUCAUCUCCAGUGAUUAUCAUGCCACUUGUUGCUGUGGAGAAGGUGUUUUUAUAGUUGCUGUUUGAAUUUUGUAAACUUAAAACAUUUUUGUCCUUGAUUGUUAACCAUUUUCUGUACUGUUAGAAUGUUAGAAGCAUGUUUUCUUGAGAAGAACCACAAACAUUUCUAGUGCCCUGGAGGACCAUAGAGCCAUAGAGAUUGACAUCGGAGGACUGACGGGCAUUUCUGGCGUCCUGGAGGACCAAAAGGCCAUCGAGAUGAAUUUCCGGAGGACUGAUGGUCACUUCCGGCGUCCUGGAGGACCGAAAGGCCAUAGAGGUGGACUUCCGGAGGACUGUCCGGCACUUCGGGGGGCCCUGUUCGCGGCAAUAUCCGCUAUCGGAGCGCUAACGUCCGUUCUCGGGACCGGGCGGGGCAGCCGUGCCUGCGGGCGGGCGGCACAGGAACCGCUCUGGCUGCCGGAACGCCCUUUGGGCUGCUUCGUCCUCGAGCCGGCGCUGGCCCGGCCUUGGCGGAACCGACGCAAAGCCCCGCCCGGGGGCGGAGCCGAGGGGUGGGGAAUUAUCAUCGUCCCACUGCGCAUGCGCGGUUCCUCAUCGGCAGUACCGGCCGUCGGCCGCCGGGUGGCAGCAUCCCCUCAGUUAUUCUGCUCUGAGCCUUCAUUAGGGCGAUGAGCAGCGGCUGCUCUCAGCGCUGUUCAGUUCCGACAGGGACUGUAACCACCUUGUGGCACUGGGGGCAUAAUGAAGACAUCCUAUGCACCAAAGAGUAAGGCAAGGGCGCUCUGAAGAGCACAAAAACCCAGAGCCCCAGUUUGCUGGGCGAUGCAAGCGGUUCCCAGAGCGAGAACAAGCAACAGUUUUUCCUGCUGGUGCCUUCUGGGUGGAGGCAAUCUCAGGACAAUUGCUAUUUUUGAGUUCCACCCCAGGGAAACAUCAAGACGUGGUUUGAGGAGGAUGCCACAUAAGCCACUCACCUGCCC